CCGGGAAAAGGCUGCCGGGAGAUCUUUCUGCGGCCUUCCAGGGUGUCCUGUGGGCUUGGAACAAAGGAGAGGGGAGUUUUACACGAGCAGGGACACAGCAACAGGCCAAAGGUCAAACAGUGGGCCUGCAACGUCAGCCUGAUUAUCCAAGCUACACCAACAGAGCAGACCAAGAUGCCUUCCUGCAUGUUUGAUGUUAAUUAGUGUGACAAAUGCCACUGGAAGAACAGCCCUGACCCAACCUGUGCAACCCUGGUGCAGCCUCAUCCCACCAACCAGGACUUUCCAAGGACACAAGAAGCUUCUGAAGUGUUUGCCUAAAGAUAACAAAGAGACAGUUAUCACUCAAAGCCAGCCUGCAAAACACAGAAGUACUGAAGUACAAGCUUUCAGCAAAUAAUGCUGCUCCAAGUGGAUAAUUACUGGUAUGUGCCUUCCUAGGCCUUCUGAGCCAACACUCAGCACGCCAAGGACUAGGAUCACACGUCCUAGUAGAGAUUUUGAGGAGUGAGGAGAUAAAAAGGAGCAGCAAAUGAGCCACUCAGGCUGAGAUGGGAAUUACAGCUCCAAAAUGAACAAGGAUCCUGAACAACAGAUGCACCUGAUCUAAUCUUUCCUUUGUCUUGGUGCUGGUAGGAAG
This is a long non-coding RNA of Myiozetetes cayanensis, 640 nucleotides long. RefSeq lists it as uncharacterized. The transcript is spliced from 5 exons. Lineage: Eukaryota; Metazoa; Chordata; Aves; Passeriformes; Tyrannidae. The record is from RefSeq and is a predicted model, not a curated record.